CCCUUAGAUGUUCUGGGCCGCACGCGCGCUACACUGAUACGUUCAACGAGUCCAAAACCUUGAUUGAUAGGUCUGGGUAAUCUUUUGAAGACGUAUCGUGCUAGGGAUAGAUUAUUGCAAUUAUUAAUCUUCAACGAGGAAUUCCUAGUAAACGCAAGUCAUCAGCUUGCAUUGAUUACGUCCCUGCCCUUUGUACACACCGCCCGUCGCAUCUACCGAUUGAAUGGAGAGGCAAAAUCUUCGGACCGUGACGCUUGGGAGUCAAAUCUCGGGCUGUCGUGGGAAGUGGAUUAAACCUUUCUAUUUAGAGGAAGGUAAAGUCGUAACA
RNAcentral lists this ribosomal RNA (328 nucleotides) under uncultured eukaryote. Its description in RNAcentral is "partial 18S ribosomal RNA". It matches the Rfam family "Eukaryotic small subunit ribosomal RNA", at positions 1470 to 1796 of the family's 1831-position model. The record is from RNAcentral.